RNAcentral lists this non-coding RNA (1008 nucleotides) under Solanum tuberosum (potato). RNAcentral describes it as "Eukaryotic large subunit ribosomal RNA". It matches the Rfam family "Eukaryotic large subunit ribosomal RNA", at positions 274 to 1288 of the family's 3401-position model. The record is from Rfam by way of RNAcentral. Lineage: Eukaryota; Viridiplantae; Streptophyta; Magnoliopsida; Solanales; Solanaceae.
UUGGGAAUACAACCCAAAUCAGACGGUGAAUUUCAUCCUAGGCUAAAUACAGGAGAGAGACCGAUAACGAAUAAGUACCACGAAAGAAAGAUUAAAAGGACUUUAAAAAUAGAGUCAAAGAGUGCUUGAAAUUAUUGGGAGGGAAGCAGAUGGAAGCUGACGAUGCACCCUGGUCAGAUUUGGAAUGGUGACGAGCUGGUUCGUCGAUCGACUCGGGGCGUGGACCAGCGUGGAUUAGGGGGGCGGUCAAAGCCCGGGCUCUUGAUAUGCCCGUGGAAUGAUGUCUCAUUGAUUUUGGUACGAAGAGUGCGCUUCUGACGUGCUUCAACAUCUGUGUGCUCCGGACACUGGCUAUGGGCUCCCCAUUCGACCCGUCUUGAAACACGGACCAAGGAGUCUGACAUGUGUGCGAGUCAACGGGCGAGUAAACCCGUAAGGCGUAAGGAAGCUGAUUGGUGGGAUCCCCCUGAGGGGUGCACCGCCGACCGACCUUGAUCUUAUGAGAAGGGUUCGAGUGUGAGCAUACCUACUGGGACCCGAAAGAUGGUGACCUAUGCCUGAGCGGGGAGAAGCCAAAGCAUACUCUAGUGGAGGACCAUUGUGAUACUGACGUGCAAAUCGUUCAUCUGACUUGGGUAUAGGGGCGAAAGACUAAUUGAACCAUUUAGCAGCUAGUUCCCUUCGAAGUUUCCCUCAGAAUAGCUAGAGAUCGGGUGCAAAUUUUAUCGGAUAAAGCCAAUGAUUUGAGGCUUCAUGGGGCAACACCCUAACCUAUUUUCAAACUUUAAAUCAGAAUGAUGACGUGACUGCUUUGUUGAGCUGCACCACGGAAUCAAGAACUACAAGUGGGCUAUUUUAGGUAAGCUGGACUGGCGAUGAGGGAUGAACCGAAAGCCGGCUUAUGGUUCCAAACUUCAUUCUAACCAAGAUCCAACAAAGGGUGUUGGUCAACUAAGACAGCAGGAAAGUAACCAUGGAAGUCAAAAUCCGCUAAGGAGUGUGUACCAA